UUGACCUCGAAUCAGGUAGGAUCCGCUGACUUAGC
This 35-nucleotide ribosomal RNA is filed under the name Phyllactinia taurica. RNAcentral describes it as "Leveillula taurica partial 28S rRNA". Lineage: Eukaryota; Fungi; Ascomycota; Leotiomycetes; Helotiales; Erysiphaceae. The record is from RNAcentral.